RNAcentral lists this ribosomal RNA (272 nucleotides) under uncultured bacterium. Its description in RNAcentral is "partial 16S ribosomal RNA". It matches the Rfam family "Bacterial small subunit ribosomal RNA", at positions 524 to 796 of the family's 1533-position model. The record is from RNAcentral.
UACGGAGGGAGCUAGCGUUGUUCGGAAUUACUGGGCGUAAAGCGCGCGUAGGCGGUCUAUAAAGUUGGGGGUGAAAUCCCGGAGCUCAACUCGGAACUGCCUCCAAAACUGCUAGACUCGAGUUCGGAAGAGGUAAGUAGAAUUCCCAGUGUAGAGGUGAAAUUCGUAGAUAUUGGGAAGAAUACCAGUGGCGAAGGCGGCUUACUGGUCCGAUACUGACGCUGAGGUGCGAAAGCGUGGGGAGCAACAGGAUUAAGAUACCCGGGUAGUCC